RNAcentral lists this ribosomal RNA (447 nucleotides) under uncultured Thalassiosira. Its description in RNAcentral is "partial Bacterial small subunit ribosomal RNA". It matches the Rfam family "Bacterial small subunit ribosomal RNA", at positions 775 to 1229 of the family's 1533-position model. Lineage: Eukaryota; Bacillariophyta; Thalassiosirophyceae; Thalassiosirales; Thalassiosiraceae. The record is from RNAcentral.
GGAUUAGAUACCCUGGUAGUCCACGCCGUAAACGAUGAGUGCUAGGUGUUGGAUCCUUUCCGGGAUUCAGUGCCGCAGCUAACGCAUUAAGCACUCCGCCUGGGGAGUACGACCGCAAGGUUGAAACUCAAAGGAAUUGACGGGGGCCCGCACAAGCGGUGGAGCAUGUGGUUUAAUUCGAUGCAACGCGAAGAACCUUACCAAGGCUUGACAUGCACGGCGGCACUGCAGAGAUGUGGUGGCAUUUAGUUGGUCGUGUGCAGGUGGUGCAUGGUUGUCGUCAGCUCGUGUCGUGAGAUGUUGGGUUAAGUCCCGCAACGAGCGCAACCCUUGUUUUUAGUUGCCUUUUAUGGAACUCUAAAAAGACUGCUGGUUAUAAACCGGAGGAAGGUGGGGAUGACGUCAAGUCAGCAUGCCCCUUACACCCUGGGCUACACACGUGCUACA